AUUGAACGCUGGCGGCAGGCUUAACACAUGCAAGUCGAGCGGGGUGAUGGUGCUUGCACUAUCACUUAGCGGCGGACGGGUGAGUAAUGCUUAGGAAUCUGCCUAUUAGUGGGGGACAACAUCUCGAAAGGGAUGCUAAUACCGCAUACGUCCUACGGGAGAAAGCAGGGGAUCACUUGUGACCUUGCGCUAAUAGAUGAGCCUAGGUCGGAUUAACUAGUUGGUGGGGUAAAGGCCUACCAAGGCGACGAUCUGUAGCGGGUCUGGGAGGAGGCGCCGCCACACUGGGACUGAGACACGGCCCAGACUCCUACGGGAGGCAGCAGUGGGGAAUAUUGUACAAUGGGGGGAACCCUGAUCCAGCCAUGCCGCGUGUGUGAAGAAGGCCUUAUGGUUGUAAAGCACUUUAAGCGAGGAGGAGGCUCUUUUGGUUAAUACCCAAGAUGAGUGGACGUUACUCGCAGAAUAAGCACCGGCUAACUCUGUGCCAGCAGCCGCCGUAA
Molecule: ribosomal RNA, 503 nt
Filed under: uncultured bacterium
Lineage: Bacteria
Description: partial 16S ribosomal RNA
Rfam family: Bacterial small subunit ribosomal RNA
Source: RNAcentral